ACUCCUACGGGAGGCAGCAGUGGGGAAUAUUGCACAAUGGGGAAACCCUGAUGCAGCCAUGCCGCGUGUGUGAAGAAGGCCUUCGGUUGUAAAGCACUUCAGUAGGGAGGAAGGUAGUGUAGUUAACACCUGCACUAUUUGACGUUACCUACAGAAGAAGCACCGGCUAACUCCGUGCCAGCAGCCGCGGUAAUACGGAGGGUGCGAGCGUUAAUCGGAAUUACUGGGCGUAAAGCGCAUGCAGGCGGCCUGUUAAGUCAGAUGUGAAAGCCCGGGGGCUUAACCUCGGAAUUGCAUUUGAAACUGGCAGGCUAGAGUCUUGUAGAGGGGGUAGAAUUUCAGGUGUAGCGGUGAAAUGCGUAGAGAUCUGAAGGAAUACCAGUGGCGAAGGCGGCCCCCUGGACAAAGACUGACGCUCAGAUGCGAAAGCGUGGGGAGCAAACAGGAUUAGAUACCCUGGUAGGAUAGCG
This 470-nucleotide ribosomal RNA is filed under the name uncultured bacterium. RNAcentral describes it as "bacterial SSU rRNA". It matches the Rfam family "Bacterial small subunit ribosomal RNA", at positions 335 to 799 of the family's 1533-position model. The record is from RNAcentral.